Molecule: ribosomal RNA, 432 nt
Filed under: uncultured bacterium
Lineage: Bacteria
Description: partial 16S ribosomal RNA
Rfam family: Bacterial small subunit ribosomal RNA
Source: RNAcentral
AAUGAACGCUGGCGGCAUGCCUAACACAUGCAAGUCGAACGAGACCUUCGGGUCUAGUGGCGCACGGGUGCGUAACGCGUGGGAACCUGCCCUUAGGUUCGGAAUAACUCCCCGAAAGGGGUGCUAUACCGGAUAAUGUCUUCGGACCAAAGAUUUAUCGCCUUUGGAUGGGCCCGCGUUGGAUUAGCUAGUUGGUAGGGUAAAAGCCUACCAAGGCGACGAUCCAUAGCUGGUCUGAGAGGAUGAUCAGCCACACUGGGACUGAGACACGGCCCAGACUCCUACGGGAGGCAGCAGUGGGGAAUAUUGGACAAUGGGCGAAAGCCUGAUCCAGCAAUGCCGCGUGAGUGAUGAAGGCCUUAGGGUUGUAAAGCUCUUUUACCCGGGAUGAUAAUGACAGUACCGGGAGAAUAAGCUCCGGCUAACUCCGUG